CUUUUCCCCUUCCUCCUUGGGCUAAGCCAGACCAGAAAGGGCCCCGUGCGCAACGUGCUUCACAAUCUCUCAGGGAAAGCGGCUAACGUGGCGCUACUCCGCCUCCCCUGUUCCUUACCCUUGGGGCGGCCGCCAUGUUUCCUGAACACAAAAUGGCGACACGUGGUUAGCAUUCGUCGCCAACGAGAAAUUGGGGUCGGCCCGAAAGCUCUAGAAUGCACCCCUCUUCCUCCCCGGGGCCUUCCACCUCCGCGAGUUUUAUGACUUAAAAAAGCCCACAGGCUGGUCUGAAGGUCGGAGGCCUAAUUUUAACGCGUUUUCCUCCCUUUAAUUUGAAACGGGAACGCGAAUGACUGUAAAAUAGGAAGACAAACAUAAAGAUGAAGUGCUUAAUUCAAGGUCACACAAUGUCGGGGAUGGACCUCCAGAUUUCCUUACUGACCUGCAUUAUCUUGUGGAUACCUGAGUGAAUUCCACACCACCCAUUUUAUAGAUGAAACCACUGAGACAUGGAGCAAUUGACUGAGUAGUCACUGCCCCACCCCUGCCUGGAGCCUCACACAUGACUCGCCUCCUCUCAGUGACCACAGGUUGGUUGAGGGGUUUAACAAGGCUAAGAAGGUGAGACGUGGUCUUGUAACACAGUGGUUAAGAAUGUGACUUUGGAGCCAGCCUGCUAGGGGCUGAAUUCUGACUCAGCCAUUUACUAACUGUGUGACCUUAGUCUGUCUAGUGACUGGUGUUGUCAUAAGAAGAGAGGGACACAGAGGGAAGAUGGCCACAUGAAGAUGGAGGCAGAGAUUGCAGUUAUGCUGCUGCAAACUAAGGAAUGGCUCUGGCCCUCCAAGGAUUGCUGAUAACCACCAGAAACUAGAAGAGACAAGGAAGGAUUCUUCCCUAGAGCCUUCAGAGGGAGCAUGGCCCUACUGACACCUGGAUUUCAAACUUGUAGCUUCCUAAACUGCAAGAGAAUAAAUUUCUGUUGUUUUAAGCCA
RNAcentral lists this long non-coding RNA (995 nucleotides) under Homo sapiens (human). RNAcentral describes it as "PCBP1 antisense RNA 1". The record is from RNAcentral. Lineage: Eukaryota; Metazoa; Chordata; Mammalia; Primates; Hominidae.